This 609-nucleotide ribosomal RNA is filed under the name uncultured bacterium. Its description in RNAcentral is "bacterial SSU rRNA". The stretch from base 1 to 541 matches the Rfam family "Bacterial small subunit ribosomal RNA", at positions 338 to 873 of the family's 1533-position model. The record is from RNAcentral.
CCUACGGGAGGCAGCAGUGGGGAAUAUUGGACAAUGGGCGAAAGCCUGAUCCAGCAAUUCCGCGUGUGUGAAGAAGGCCUUCGGGUUGUAAAGCACUUUAGGUUGGGAAGAAAAAGCUCCGGUGAAUAUCCGGAGUGUUGACGGUACCAACAGAAUAAGCACCGGCUAACUCUGUGCCAGCAGCCGCGGUAAUACAGAGGGUGCAAGCGUUAAUCGGAUUUACUGGGCGUAAAGCGUGCGCAGGUGGUUUCGUAAGUCGGAUGUGAAAGCCCCGGGCUCAACCUGGGAACUGCGUUCGAUACUGCGAGACUAGAGUUUGGUAGAGGGUGGCGGAAUUCCCGGUGUAGCGGUGAAAUGCGUAGAUAUCGGGAGGAACAUCAAUGGCGAAGGCAGCCACCUGGGCCUGAACUGACACUGAGGCACGAAAGCGUGGGUAGCAAACAGGAUUAGAUACCCUGGUAGUCCACGCCGUAAACGAUGAGAACUUGACGUCGGCCCGUUUUACGAGUCGGUGUCGUAGCUAACGCGAUAAGUCUCCGCCUGGGGNGAGCGCGAGUAGAAGUAANAAGAAGUUAGAGNGNGAGAGNGCGAGCGACGACGAGGAGGAGG